This 106-nucleotide ribosomal RNA is filed under the name Stenotrophomonas maltophilia. Lineage: Bacteria; Pseudomonadati; Pseudomonadota; Gammaproteobacteria; Lysobacterales; Lysobacteraceae. The record is from RNAcentral.
GUGAAAUUAGCGCUGUGGAACCACCCGAUCCCAUCCCGAACUCGGAAGUGAAACGCAGCCGCGCCGAUGGUAGUGUGGCUCAAGCCAUGCGAGAGUAGGUCAUCGC